Molecule: transfer RNA, 71 nt
Filed under: Nemipterus hexodon (ornate threadfin bream)
Lineage: Eukaryota; Metazoa; Chordata; Actinopteri; Spariformes; Nemipteridae
Description: tRNA-Phe
Rfam family: tRNA
About the family: Transfer RNA (tRNA) molecules are approximately 80 nucleotides in length. Their secondary structure includes four short double-helical elements and three loops (D, anti-codon, and T loops).
Source: RNAcentral
GCUAGCGUAGCUUAAUUUUCAAAGCAUGACACUGAAGAUGUUAUGAUGAGCCUUAAAAAACUCCGCAGGCA